CAUCUUUUAUCUUUUAAAAGACCUAGUAAUAGGUAUGCUUUAGGAGGGGCUUGCGCCAUAUCAGUUAGUGGUAGGGUAAUGGCCUACCAAGACGAUGAUGUGUAGCUGGACUGAGAGGUUGAACAGCCACAUUGGGACUGAGACACGGCCCAAACUCCUACGGGAGGCAGCAGUAGGGAAUUUUCGGCAAUGGAGGAAACUCUGACCGAGCAACGCCGCGUGAAGACGAAGUACUUCGGUAUGUAAAGUUCUUUUAUCAAGGAAGAAAAGCAAAUGGCGAACCAUUUGUUUGCCGGUACUUGAUGAAUAAGCCCCGGCUAAUUAUGUGCCAGCAGCCGCGGUAAGACAUAAGGGGCAAGUGUUAUCCGGAAUUAUUGGGCGUAAAGGGUGCGUAGGCGGUCUAGUAAGUCAGUGGUGUAAUGGCAACGCUUAACGUUGUCCGGCUAUUGAAACUGCUAAACUUGAGUUAGAUAGAGGCGAGUGGAAUUCCAUGUGUAGCGGUAAAAUGCGUAAAUAUAUGGAGGAACACCAGAGGCGUAGGCGGCUCGCUGGGUCUUAACUGACGCUGAGGCACGAAAGCGUGGGGAGCAAACAGGAUUAGAUACCCUGGUAGUCCACGCCGUAAACGAUGAGUACUAAGUGUCGGGUUAAACCGGUACUGAAGUUAACACAUUAAGUACUCCGCCUGAGUAGUACGUACGCAAGUAUGAAACUUAAAGGAAUUGACGGGACUCCGCACAAGCGGUGGAUCAUGUUGUUUAAUUCGAAGAUACCCGAAAAACCUUACCAGGUCUUGACAUGUUUUUGCAAAAUGAUAGUAAUAUCGUGGAGGUUACCAGAAACACAGGUGGUGCAUGGUUGUCGUCAGCUCGUGUCGUGAGAUGUUAGGUUAAGUCCUAAAACGAGCGAAACCCUUAUCGUUGCCAGCACGUUAUGGUGGGGACUUUAACGAGACUGCCAAUGAUAAAUUGGAGGAAGGUGAGGAUCACGUCAAAUCAGCAUGCCCCUUAUGACCUGGGCUACAAACGUGAUACAAUGGCUGUUACAAAGGGUAGCUGAAACGCAAGUUCUUGGCCAAUCCCCAAAAACAGUCCCAGUCCGGAUUGAAGUCUGCAACUCGACUUCAUGAAGUUGGAAUCGCUAGUAAUCGCGAAUCAGCAUGUCGC
RNAcentral lists this ribosomal RNA (1166 nucleotides) under 'Rosa indica' phytoplasma. Its description in RNAcentral is "bacterial SSU rRNA". It matches the Rfam family "Bacterial small subunit ribosomal RNA", at positions 173 to 1360 of the family's 1533-position model. The record is from RNAcentral. Lineage: Bacteria; Bacillati; Mycoplasmatota; Mollicutes; Acholeplasmatales; Acholeplasmataceae.